This 503-nucleotide ribosomal RNA is filed under the name uncultured bacterium. Its description in RNAcentral is "partial 16S ribosomal RNA". It matches the Rfam family "Bacterial small subunit ribosomal RNA", at positions 30 to 523 of the family's 1533-position model. The record is from RNAcentral.
AUUGAACGCUGGCGGCAGGCUUAACACAUGCAAGUCGAGCGGGGUGAUGGUGCUUGCACUAUCACUUAGCGGCGGACGGGUGAGUAAUGCUUAGGAAUCGGCCUAUUAGUGGGGGACAACAUCUCGAAAGGGAUGCUAAUACCGCAUACGUCCUACGGGAGAAAGCAGGGGAUCACUUGUGACCUUGCGCUAAUAGAUGAGCCUAAGUCGGAUUAGCUAGUUGGUGGGGUAAAGGCCUACCAAGGCGACGAUCUGUAGCGGGUCUGAGAGGAUGCUCCGCCACACUGGGACUGAGACACGGCCCAGACUCCUACGGGAGGCAGCAGUGGGGAAUAUUGGACAAUGGGGGGAACCCUGAUCCAGCCAUGCCGCGUGUGUGAAGAAGGCCUUAUGGUUGUAAAGCACUUUAAGCGAGGAGGAGGCUCUUUUGGUUAAUACCCAAGACGAGUGGACGUUACUCGCAGAAUAAGCACCGGCUAACUCUGUGCCAGCCGCCGCAGUAA